GAUGAACGCUGGCGGCGUGCCUAAUACAUGCAAGUCGAGCGAACGGACGAGAAGCUUGCUUCUCUUAUGUUAGCGGCGGACGGGUGAGUAACACGUGGAUAACCUACCUAUAAGACUGGGAUAACUUCGGGAACCCGUAGCUAAUACCGGAUAAUAUUUUGAACCUCAUGGUUCAAAAGUGAAAGACGUUCUUGCUGUCACUUAUAGAUGGAUCCGCGCUGCAUUAGCUAGUUGGUAAGGUAACGGCUUACCAAGGCAACGAUGCAUAGCCGACCUGAGAGGGUGAUCGGCCACACUGGAACUGAGACACGGUCCAGACUCCUACGGGAGGCAGCAGUAGGGAAUCUUCCGCAAUGGGCGAAAGCCUGACGGAGCAACGCCGCGUGAGUGAUGAAGGUCUUCGGAUCGUAAAACUCUGUUAUUAGGGAAGAACAUAUGUGUAAGUAACUGUGCACAUCUUGACGGUACCUAAUCAGAAAGCCACGGCUAACUACGUG
Molecule: ribosomal RNA, 497 nt
Filed under: uncultured bacterium
Lineage: Bacteria
Description: partial 16S ribosomal RNA
Rfam family: Bacterial small subunit ribosomal RNA
Source: RNAcentral